This is a long non-coding RNA of Cervus elaphus (red deer), 1308 nucleotides long. RefSeq lists it as uncharacterized. The record is from RefSeq and is a predicted model, not a curated record. The transcript has 3 exons. NCBI's taxonomy places the organism in Eukaryota, Metazoa, Chordata, Mammalia, Artiodactyla, Cervidae.
AGAAGCAAAUUUCAUGAAGUAAACACAUUAGGACAAGUUUUAAUGACCAAACAUUAACUAAGAUAUGUAUCAUUAAUAUAAACUUCUCCAUAAAUGGUGUGAAAGUGGUCACACUCAUUGCCUGUCCCAAGUUAAUCACUUAAGCCCUUACCUGCCUGGUUGGCACAAUCUCAACUGCAAAGGCCGCUGCCCUGAGUUUUCCGGAGAGCAUAAUUCACAUCCUGGUUGCUAAGUGUCCCUUGCUUGGAUUCACAAACUUACAGCUCUUAUCCCAUUCUGUUCCUAUCAUAGCUGCUCCGGCCUGGACCCCACUACCCACCACCUCUUAGACCCGAACCACUGACUGCCUUCCCUCUUAGGCUCUGCCUUUGAGAGAGGAGCUCUCCCCCGAAACAUCCUGAGCACGAAGAAUCUGAAAUCAGAGGGUGCCUUUCCCAUAGACAUUCUAGCUUCUUGUUCUUCUGGCCAGGUCCGCGUUUCACACUCCUAGGAAUUCCCAGGUGCCUUACACAGGCCUUUAGGGAAUCUGGUCCAUUGAACACCAAAGUGGCUGCAAAUUCCUCCCCUCCCUGCCUUCACUGUUAUGGUAACGUUGCAGCUUCUCCCCUCAAGAGGUUAGAGUCCAUUCCCCUACUCCUUGAAGUUGGUUCUGGUCAUGUGAUGGGCUGUGGCCAAUGGAGUGUUCGCAAACAUGACAUAUGCGGAAGUACGUUCGCACUUCCGCUCUGGGAGGCUUACCUGUUUUUGCUGCUGGGAACGCCGAAGCCCUCAGGUGCUGGAGCCUGGGUUAAGCUGCUGGCGGAUGCUGGCCCCCUUGGAUCCAGGCGGAGCAGUUGCAGCAGAGGGUCCUGCACCCACUGGUCAGCCAGCCAGCUACUGUGAAUGAGCGCCCCAGCCCACCCACCGGCUGACCACAGGGAUGAACCAGCGGGCCCAGGUCAGAACCGCACAGCUGAACUCCAGAACUGCAAAUGAAGUAAAAUGCUGAAUUAAAUCACAGGCAGUAAGCAGGCCCCGAAUGUCUUCUCCUUACAAGACCCUAAGCUGCAGUCACCGAGGAGCAGAUAUGGAGGAGAGAAGGCCGCCACCACCCUUAGGGAGAUGAGUCUCCCCUGACAAGGAAGGAGAAGGUGACUCAGAGAAACAUGCAGCUCCUUCCUCCUCCGUACCUAAGAAAUUUUUCACGUUGCGAUGGCUCAAAAGUCUUGUGCCAACACGUUCUGCCGCUGUGAGAAGGCGACGGGGGACCCUGGUGCCUCAUUCUGAUGUCUUUGCAGAAAGCAGUAAAGAGUGCCAAUUCUUUUCCUG